CGGAGACAAAGUUUACAUGCUAAGGUCCACAUCUUUUUCGUGUCUACAAUGCUCCAAGAAAAAUGUUUCGUUUAAAUUAUCCUUUGCAUUCUACAUUUUGGCUUUGGAUGCAUUUAAUUCGUGCACAUAU
Molecule: small nucleolar RNA, 130 nt
Filed under: Drosophila erecta
Lineage: Eukaryota; Metazoa; Arthropoda; Insecta; Diptera; Drosophilidae
Description: snoRNA:GG25891
Source: RNAcentral